AAAAAGACUUUGAUAGAGACAGUAGUUUAUCAGUGAACGUUUCAGAGAGCUUGACGUUGGUGGGAGUCGGGUAUUAGUAGCAGAUAUAUGAAAAUCACUCUGGAGUUGCAGCCCGAAAUGUUUUUUGACUUUUGUAGUUUAUAUUAAUGUAGGCGCUGACGGUUUCUCCCGUUACAGAGAACACAUAUAAAGGGAAUUCCCGAGUAUGCUGUUAAAGGUGGUAUAACGAAAAUUCAGGCUUUCGUCCUUAAC
This 252-nucleotide non-coding RNA is filed under the name Eubacterium sp. RNAcentral describes it as "T-box sequence". It matches the Rfam family "T-box leader". From Rfam's summary of the family: Uncharged tRNA acts as the effector for transcription antitermination of genes in the T-box leader family. The record is from RNAcentral. Lineage: Bacteria; Bacillati; Bacillota; Clostridia; Eubacteriales; Eubacteriaceae.